CAAGCUCGACAGAGAACCGGGUGGAUGCCUUGGCGCUGAAGGCCGAUGAAGGACGCGGAGACCGGCGAAACGUUCCGGGGGAGCUGCAUGCAAGCCAUGAGCCCGGAGAGUCCGAAUGGGGCAACCCCUCCAGAGUGAUGUCUGGAGACCGCCUGCUGAACCCAUAGGCAGGCUGGAGGCAAGUGGGCGAACUGAAACAUCUCAGUAGCCUGACGAGAAAAAAUCAACCGAGAUUCCCCAAGUAGUGGCG
Molecule: ribosomal RNA, 250 nt
Filed under: Chloroflexota bacterium
Lineage: Bacteria; Bacillati; Chloroflexota
Description: Chloroflexi bacterium partial 23S ribosomal RNA
Rfam family: Bacterial large subunit ribosomal RNA
Source: RNAcentral